CCCUGAAUAGCUCAGUCAGUAGAGCAUAAGACUCUUAAUCUCAGGGUUGUGGGGUUUCAGCCCCACAUUGGGCA
Molecule: transfer RNA, 74 nt
Filed under: Podarcis lilfordi (Lilford's wall lizard)
Lineage: Eukaryota; Metazoa; Chordata; Lepidosauria; Squamata; Lacertidae
Rfam family: tRNA
About the family: Transfer RNA (tRNA) molecules are approximately 80 nucleotides in length. Their secondary structure includes four short double-helical elements and three loops (D, anti-codon, and T loops). Further hydrogen bonds mediate the characteristic L-shaped molecular structure. tRNAs have two regions of fundamental functional importance: the anti-codon, which is responsible for specific mRNA codon recognition, and the 3' end, to which the tRNAs corresponding amino acid is attached (by aminoacyl-tRNA synthetases). tRNAs cope with the degeneracy of the genetic code in two manners: having more than one tRNA (with a specific anti-codon) for a particular amino acid; and 'wobble' base-pairing, i.e. permitting non-standard base-pairing at the 3rd anti-codon position.
Source: Rfam by way of RNAcentral